Long non-coding RNA from Pseudopipra pipra, 832 nucleotides. RefSeq lists it as uncharacterized. The transcript is spliced from 3 exons. The record is from RefSeq and is a predicted model, not a curated record. NCBI's taxonomy places the organism in Eukaryota, Metazoa, Chordata, Aves, Passeriformes, Pipridae.
UGGUAUAAAUCCCUCUCUGGGGGCAACGAGAAACUCAAUGCCUGUCACCGGUUCUGCAGCGGGAGCGGCUACGGGACGAGGAGACUUCCACCCAACCCUGACGGGUACCAGCAACAGAAUUGGUCAGAAAAUACCGAUUUUGGGGCCGUGAGUGCAAACCCUGAGGAACACCAACCUCAUCCCACGCCCAGGGAAGAACCUGUGAGAGAGGAGAUGAAGAUCAGAGAAAUACCGGCACCCAUCUGCGGGGAGUGGGCGCAAGAAGGAGCAGGAAGAGGCAACACAGGAAGCAGUGGAGGAGGAAGAGGAGGCGAUGGAGGACGAGGAGGAUGGGCAAUAGGAAUUGGAGGAACAGGAGAAGGAGGAAUAGGAGGAGCAGGAGGAGCAGUAGGAGGAGGAGGAGCAGGAGGAGCAGUAGGAGGAGGAGGAGAAGGAGGAUCAGGAGGAUCAGGAGGAGGACAAGGAGAAGGAGGAGGAGGAGGAGGCAACACAGGAAACAGCGGAAGAGGAGGAAGAGGAGGUGAUGGAGGACGAGGAGGAUGUGCAAUAGGAGUUAGAGGAGCAGGACGAGGAGGAAUAGGAGGAGCAGGAGGAGCAGUAGGAGGAGGAGGAGCAGGAGGAGCAGUAGGAGGAGGAGGAAGAGGAGGAGCAGGAGGAGGAGGAGGAGGAAGAGGAGGAGCAGGAGGAGGAGGAGGAGGAAGAGGAGGAUGUUGAAUUGUAAUGGGUAAAUAAUUGUCAAUUCAUAAAUUGAUCAAUGGAUCAGUUGUAAACCGACAAAUAAAUUGUCUGAACCGCUCGAGUCAGACGCUUUCCUCGUCGUGUCAAUAUUUAU